GAACUGAAGAGUUUGAUCAUGGCUCAGAUUGAACGCUGGCGGCAGGCCUAACACAUGCAAGUCGAGCGGAUGAAGGGAGCUUGCUCCUGGAUUCAGCGGCGGACGGGUGAGUAAUGCCUAGGAAUCUGCCUGGUAGUGGGGGAUAACGUCCGGAAACGGGCGCUAAUACCGCAUACGUCCUGAGGGAGAAAGUGGGGGAUCUUCGGACCUCACGCUAUCAGAUGAGCCUAGGUCGGAUUAGCUAGUUGGUGGGGUAAAGGCCUACCAAGGCGACGAUCCGUAACUGGUCUGAGAGGAUGAUCAGUCACACUGGAACUGAGACACGGUCCAGA
This 332-nucleotide ribosomal RNA is filed under the name Pseudomonas aeruginosa. Its description in RNAcentral is "bacterial SSU rRNA". It matches the Rfam family "Bacterial small subunit ribosomal RNA", at positions 1 to 335 of the family's 1533-position model. Lineage: Bacteria; Pseudomonadati; Pseudomonadota; Gammaproteobacteria; Pseudomonadales; Pseudomonadaceae. The record is from RNAcentral.